GUGCUUGCCUUGGGAGCACACAUGCUAAAACUGGAACAAUCCAGAGAUUAGUAUGGCCCCUGAGCAAGAAUGACAUGAAAAUUCAUGAAGUGUUCCAUAUUCUU
Small nuclear RNA from Cynocephalus volans (Philippine flying lemur), 104 nucleotides. Lineage: Eukaryota; Metazoa; Chordata; Mammalia; Dermoptera; Cynocephalidae. The record is from RefSeq and is a predicted model, not a curated record.